RNAcentral lists this ribosomal RNA (462 nucleotides) under uncultured bacterium. RNAcentral's name for it is "partial 16S ribosomal RNA". It matches the Rfam family "Bacterial small subunit ribosomal RNA", at positions 28 to 507 of the family's 1533-position model. The record is from RNAcentral.
GACGAACGCUGGCGGCGUGCUUAACACAUGCAAGUCGAACGGAAAGGCCCUUCGGGGUACUCGAGUGGCGAACGGGUGAGUAACACGUGGGUGAUCUGCCCUGCACUUUGGGAUAAGCCUGGGAAACUGGGUCUAAUACCGAAUAGGACCACGCGCUUCAUGGUGUGUGGUGGAAAGCUUUUGCGGUGUGGGAUGGGCCCGCGGCCUAUCAGCUUGUUGGUGGGGUAAUGGCCUACCAAGGCGACGACGGGUAGCCGGCCUGAGAGGGUGACCGGCCACACUGGGACUGAGAUACGGCCCAGACUCCUACAGGAGGCAGCAGUGGGGAAUAUUGCACAAUGGGCGCAAGCCUGAUGCAGCGACGCCGCGUGAGGGAUGACGGCCUUCGGGUUGUAAACCUCUUUCAAUAGGGACGAAGCGCAAGUGACGGUACCUAUAGAAGAAGCACCGGCCAACUACGUG